UACGUAGGGGGCAAGCGUUGUCCGGAAUUAUUGGGCGUAAAGCGCGCGCAGGCGGCCAUUUAAGUCUGGUGUUUAAUCCCGGGGCUCAACUCCGGGUCGCAUCGGAAACUGGGUGGCUGGAGUGCAGAAGAGGAAAGUGGAAUUCCACGUGUAGCGGUGAAAUGCGUAGAGAUGUGGAGGAACACCAGUGGCGAAGGCGACUUUCUGGGCUGUAACUGACGCUGAGGCGCGAAAGCGUGGGGAGCAAACAGG
RNAcentral lists this ribosomal RNA (252 nucleotides) under uncultured bacterium. RNAcentral's name for it is "partial 16S ribosomal RNA". It matches the Rfam family "Bacterial small subunit ribosomal RNA", at positions 524 to 776 of the family's 1533-position model. RNAcentral also lists the same sequence under 1 other name. The record is from RNAcentral.